UACAGAGGGUGCGAGCGUUAAUCGGAAUUACUGGGCGUAAAGCGUGCGUAGACGGCUAUCUAAGUCGGGUGUGAAAGCCCCGGGCUCAACCUGGGAAUUGCAUUCGAGACUGAAUAGCUAGGGUACGGUAGAGGGAAGCGGAAUUUCCGGUGUAGCGGUGAAAUGCGUAGAUAUCGGAAGGAACGUCAGUGGCGAAAGCGGCUUCCUGGACCAGUACCGACGUUCAGGCACGAAAGCGUGGGGAGCAAACAGG
This 253-nucleotide ribosomal RNA is filed under the name uncultured bacterium. RNAcentral describes it as "partial 16S ribosomal RNA". It matches the Rfam family "Bacterial small subunit ribosomal RNA", at positions 524 to 776 of the family's 1533-position model. The record is from RNAcentral.